RNAcentral lists this ribosomal RNA (586 nucleotides) under uncultured Hyphomonas sp. Its description in RNAcentral is "bacterial SSU rRNA". It matches the Rfam family "Bacterial small subunit ribosomal RNA", at positions 46 to 619 of the family's 1533-position model. Lineage: Bacteria; Pseudomonadati; Pseudomonadota; Alphaproteobacteria; Hyphomonadales; Hyphomonadaceae. The record is from RNAcentral.
GCUUCAUACAUGCAAGUCGAGCGGAAAGGCCCCUUCGGGGGCACUCGAGCGGCGAACGGGUGAGUAACAGGUGGAUAAUCUGCCUCCCGGUAGGGGAUAACCCCGCGAAAGCGGGGCUAAUACCGUAUACGGUCUUCGGGGCCUCGGUCCUGAAGAAGAAAGGGGCUAUUGCCCCGCCGGAAGAUGAGUCCGCCCCCCAUUAGCUUGUUGGUGAGAUAACAGCCCACCAAGGCGACGAUGGGUAGCCGAGCUGAGAGGUUGAUCGGCCACACUGGAACUGAGACACGGUCCAGACACCUACGGGUGGCAGCAGUAGGGAAUAUUGGACAAUGGGCGAAAGCCUGAUCCAGCCAUGCCGCGUGGAUGAUGAAGGCCUUCGGGUCGUAAAGUCCUUUUCUUGGGGAAGAACAAGCCCGGGAGUGGAAAGCCCGGGCCCUGACGGUACCCAAGGAAUAAGCAACGGCUAACUCCGUGCCAGCAGCCGCGGUAAUACNGAAGUUGCGAGCGUUGUUCGGAUUUACUGGGCGUAAAGGGACGCAAGGCGGCCAGGCCAGUCCAAAAUGAAAGCCGGGGGCUCAACCUCCGG